CGUCAAAUCAGCACGGCCCUUAUAUCCAGGGCUACACACGUGUUACAAUGGUCAAGACAGAGGGCAGCAAUAACGUGAGUUUGAGCUAAUCCUAAAAAUUGAUCUUAGUUCGGAUCGGAGUCUGCAACUCGACUCCGUGAAGCUGGAUUCGCUAGUAAUCGCAGAUCAGCCAUGCUGCGGUGAAUACGUUCCCGGGCCUU
This 200-nucleotide ribosomal RNA is filed under the name uncultured prokaryote. RNAcentral describes it as "partial 16S ribosomal RNA". It matches the Rfam family "Bacterial small subunit ribosomal RNA", at positions 1183 to 1382 of the family's 1533-position model. The record is from RNAcentral.